UACGUAGGGUGCGAGCGUUGUCCGGAAUUAUUGGGCGUAAAGGGCUCGUAGGCGGUGUGUCGCGUCGGCCGUGAAAACCUGCAGCUUAACUGUGGGCUUGCGGUCGAUACGGGCAUCACUGGAGUUCGGCAGGGGAGACUGGAAUUCCUGGUGUAGCGGUGAAAUGCGCAGAUAUCAGGGGGAACACCGGUGGCGAAGGCGGGUCUCCGGGCCGAUACUGACGCUGAGGAGCGAAAGCGUGGGGAGCGAACAGG
Molecule: ribosomal RNA, 254 nt
Filed under: uncultured bacterium
Lineage: Bacteria
Description: partial 16S ribosomal RNA
Rfam family: Bacterial small subunit ribosomal RNA
Source: RNAcentral